GAAACAGGGCUAGCUCGAGUUCAAAGCCAGAACCUAGAGCUGAUCAUGGGGAAGAUGAUAGUAAAACAGUCGAUGAAGCUGGACCAGAGUCUGAAAUUGUACCUGAAGCUGCACCUGAGACACCAAAAGACUCGACUGAAGAAAGACUAAGGAGCGAUUCUAUGCAAAGUGCAACCUCUGCCUUGGAAACAAGUACCACAUGGGAAUCCAGAGUUCAUUUUCCAACUUCAUUCGACACCUCCAAAUAUUCCACAAAGAAGAGUGGGAUUAUUUUGAGUCCUCUACGGAGUCAAAGCAACCAUCAGUUACGUCAUUUAUCUCACCUCGAGUUGCGAGCCGCGAAAGCAGGGGCAGCUGGAUAGGCUUCUCUGCCAGAUGAUCAUCACAGACAAUCUUCCGCUCAAUAUUGUCAGGAGGCAAGGCUUCCGAUAGCUUUGUACCCUGGUUACAAAAUACCAUCCCUAGAAAACCUCCGAAAGCUUAUCGAUUAGCUUUUUGAACGACCGAAGGCUGCAUUAAGGGACAAGCUGAAACGUGUCAAUUCAACCUCUAUUAUAAUGGACUUGUGGUCUUCCAAAACUACGCGGGAGUACCUAGGCAUAUCCUGCACGGGCGUGACGGAGGAUAACGAGCCGUUCAACGCUUUCUUAACUCUACGGCAUACGCAAGGAAGGCAUACUGGUGCAGCAACUUUUGCCGAGUACAAGUCGGUUGUGAAGGACUGGAAUAUCAUCAACAAGUCAUUCGUGUUAUGACUGAUAUUGCAUCGAAUAUGAAGUCUGCUUUCUCUUCAAGUCUACCCAGCUGGGAGGCUGUGCCAUCUUGCGGUGGAAUGCCUUCAACGGACGACACUGACGAGUGUGACGACGAUGACGACGAUGACGACGAUGGCGACGGAUGGGUUGACUUGGAGUUGGAGAUCGACGAGGAAAUCGAGUUGUUGGUGUCGGCCGAUGGCGAGGAUCAGGAAUACAUGCAAUUAAAGUUGAAUCUUGAAGAAAUCUUUGACGAAUACUUUACGACUUCAAAAAUAGACCUUCCCUCGUUUCGUGAUUCCGUUCGUCAAGUGUUGCACACACUAUUCAACUCACUGUUAAAGACGGUUUAAAAGCCUCAAAUGUAACAUCAAUUUCUUCAGCCUUAAAACUGGCCUCUAAGACUGCAAAACACUCGACAAGCAUGUUUACUUUCGGCCAGUGUUCUGUCGAAUAAGCUUCUUCGAAUAAAAUUUU
Long non-coding RNA from Daphnia magna, 1232 nucleotides. RefSeq lists it as uncharacterized. The record is from RefSeq and is a predicted model, not a curated record. NCBI's taxonomy places the organism in Eukaryota, Metazoa, Arthropoda, Branchiopoda, Diplostraca, Daphniidae. The transcript has 5 exons.